GCCGACAUAGCUCAGCUGGUAGAGCAACGCACUCGUAACGCGUAGGUCGCAGGUUCGAAUCCCGUUGUCGGCU
RNAcentral lists this transfer RNA (73 nucleotides) under Mucilaginibacter sp. Its description in RNAcentral is "tRNA-Thr". It matches the Rfam family "tRNA". Rfam says of the family: Transfer RNA (tRNA) molecules are approximately 80 nucleotides in length. Their secondary structure includes four short double-helical elements and three loops (D, anti-codon, and T loops). RNAcentral also lists the same sequence under 3 other names. Lineage: Bacteria; Pseudomonadati; Bacteroidota; Sphingobacteriia; Sphingobacteriales; Sphingobacteriaceae. The record is from RNAcentral.